Molecule: ribosomal RNA, 1372 nt
Filed under: uncultured bacterium
Lineage: Bacteria
Description: bacterial SSU rRNA
Rfam family: Bacterial small subunit ribosomal RNA
Source: RNAcentral
GAUGAACGCUGGCGGCGUGCCUAAUACAUGCAAGUCGAGCGAACGGACGAGAAGCUUGCUUCUCUGAUGUUAGCGGCGGACGGGUGAGUAACACGUGGAUAACCUACCUAUAAGACUGGGAUAACUUCGGGAAACCGGAGCUAAUACCGGAUAAUAUUUUGAACCGCAUGGUUCAAAAGUGAAAGACGGUCUUGCUGUCACUUAUAGAUGGAUCCGCGCUGCAUUAGCUAGUUGGUAAGGUAACGGCUUACCAAGGCAACGAUGCAUAGCCGACCUGAGAGGGUGAUCGGCCACACUGGAACUGAGACACGGUCCAGACUCCUACGGGAGGCAGCAGUAGGGAAUCUUCCGCAAUGGGCGAAAGCCUGACGGAGCAACGCCGCGUGAGUGAUGAAGGUCUUCGGAUCGUAAAACUCUGUUAUUAGGGAAGAAUAUAUGUGUAAGUAACUGUGCACAUCUUGACGGUACCUAAUCAGAAAGCCACGGCUAACUACGUGCCAGCAGCCGCGGUAAUACGUAGGUGGCAAGCGUUAUCCGGAAUUAUUGGGCGUAAAGCGCGCGUAGGCGGUUUUUUAAGUCUGAUGUGAAAGCCCACGGCUCAACCGUGGAGGGUCAUUGGAAACUGGAAAACUUGAGUGCAGAAGAGGAAAGUGGAAUUCCAUGUGUAGCGGUGAAAUGCGCAGAGAUAUGGAGGAACACCAGUGGCGAAGGCGACUUUCUGGUCUGUAACUGACGCUGAUGUGCGAAAGCGUGGGGAUCAAACAGGAUUAGAUACCCUGGUAGUCCACGCCGUAAACGAUGAGUGCUAAGUGUUAGGGGGUUUCCGCCCCUUAGUGCUGCAGCUAACGCAUUAAGCACUCCGCCUGGGGAGUACGACCGCAAGGUUGAAACUCAAAGGAAUUGACGGGGACCCGCACAAGCGGUGGAGCAUGUGGUUUAAUUCGAAGCAACGCGAAGAACCUUACCAAAUCUUGACAUCCUUUGACAGCUCUAGAGAUAGAGCCUUCCCCUUCGGGGGACAAAGUGACAGGUGGUGCAUGGUUGUCGUCAGCUCGUGUCGUGAGAUGUUGGGUUAAGUCCCGCAACGAGCGCAACCCUUAAGCUUAGUUGCCAUCAUUAAGUUGGGCACUCUAAGUUGACUGCCGGUGACAAACCGGAGGAAGGUGGGGAUGACGUCAAAUCAUCAUGCCCCUUAUGAUUUGGGCUACACACGUGCUACAAUGGACAAUACAAAGGGCAGCGAAACCGCGAGGUCAAGCAAAUCCCAUAAAGUUGUUCUCAGUUCGGAUUGUAGUCUGCAACUCGACUACAUGAAGCUGGAAUCGCUAGUAAUCGUAGAUCAGCAUGCUACGGUGAAUACGUUCCCGGGUCU